Molecule: transfer RNA, 80 nt
Filed under: Sphaerodactylus townsendi
Lineage: Eukaryota; Metazoa; Chordata; Lepidosauria; Squamata; Sphaerodactylidae
Description: tRNA-Ala
Source: RNAcentral
GGAUGGGUCAUGGCUUAGUGGUAGAGCAUCCACUUGGCACACAGAAGGCCCCAGCUUCAAGCCCCGGCACCUCCCGUUCA